GACGAACGCUGGCGGCGUGCUUAACACAUGCGAGUCGAACGGAAAGGCCCUGCUUUUGUGGGGUGCUCGAGUGGCGAACGGGUGAGUAACACGUGAGUAACCUGCCCUUGACUUUGGGAUAACUUCAGGAAACUGGGGCUAAUACCGGAUAGGAGCUCCUGCUGCAUGGUGGGGGUUGGAAAGUUUCGGCGGUUGGGGAUGGACUCGCGGCUUAUCAGCUUGUUGGUGGGGUAGUGGCUUACCAAGGCUUUGACAGGUAGCCGGCCUGAGAGGGUGACCGGCCACAUUGGGACUGAGAUACGGCCCAGACUCCUACGGGAGGCAGCAGUGGGGAAUAUUGCACAAUGGGCGGAAGCCUGAUGCAGCAACGCCGCGUGCGGGAUGACGGCCUUCGGGUUGUAAACCGCUUUCGCCUGUGACGAAGCGUGAGUGACGGUAAUGGGUAAAGAAGCACCGGCUAACUACGUG
This 468-nucleotide ribosomal RNA is filed under the name uncultured bacterium. RNAcentral's name for it is "partial 16S ribosomal RNA". It matches the Rfam family "Bacterial small subunit ribosomal RNA", at positions 28 to 507 of the family's 1533-position model. The record is from RNAcentral.